AACCAAAUCAAACUAAACCAAAUGAUCGUGUAAUCAAACCAAAAAAAAAAAAAUGAAAUAUUUGUAACCAAAUGAUCCAUGAUAUAUUGGGCCAUCGACCCGUUAACAUAUAAUUUCUUGCUACUAUUGGGCUUCGUACAUAUAUAUGACAACUUAACGCUUUCUCAAUCUUAUCACAAGACGAGAUAAUUCUUUUUUUUUUUUUAACAGACGAGAUAAUCUUCUCAAUCUCCGUCCUGACAAUGGAGAGAUCUACGCUCAAACGAACAUCGAGUUUUCCGGAUCCUGAGCGUUCGACUUUGAUCAUGCGGCCGAAAUUCGGAUCUCCAUUCCUUUCCCGGGAGAAUCUCUAUAAUCUUUUCUCACAAAUCGUCGUUUUCCCUCUUGCCGUUAUCUUUCUCACGAACAUUUGAGAAAAGAGCAUCUUCGAGACGGAACUAAUCCUAACUUGGUUUAGCUCAGUUUUCAAUCCCAGAAUCCGUUUGUUGACCCGAAUAAUUUUCCUGUAGAAAUGGCUAGCCAAGGCGGGGCUCCAAGACGGAGCUUAUCUGUAACGACUGCGUCAUUACACGGAAAGAAGAAAUCCAUGGAAAUUGGCGAACGAGGUCCCGACACUGGCCGGAGAUCUUUUACUGUUUCUCGUUCUCCUUUGUGAUGUUAGAUUCUACGCGUGAUUUUUGUUUCCUUUUAGAAACAAGUAAAAUUCCACCCAACUAUUAGAGUUUAACACUCAAAAUUUGGGCUUCCAUUGGGUUGAUUAUUUUAAAUUUAGGGUAUAGUAUUUAAGGGAUAUGGUUUAGUAUUUGGAAUUUAGAAUCUAGGGUUUGAAAAUUGAAAAUUUAAUGUUAGUUUGGUAGUAUUUUUGUUCAAAAAACAAAAACAAUGGUAUUUUAGAGAAUUGCCCAAUAAUACUAACCACACCCAAUAGAAAACACACAAAAAAUAUAUAUUAACCCAUCCUGACACAAUUUACAUUAACUCUACAUACAGUAUGUGUUUUAUAUCUAUAUAUACAGAUAAGGAAACAAAGAUGUUUCAAUACCAAUUGUCCUGGUUUUGUCUUAGUGAAUUCCCAAAUCCCUCUUGGUCUUGUCUUCAAGGUGUCCAAACCUGACGCGAUAAUGGAAAAUAGAUUUUACAUCGCCCGAGACAAUAUAAGUGGGAACUGGUGGUUAACAUUGGGUAAAGACAUAAGCAUAGGUUUCUGGCCAAUUCAAACUCUGGUAGGUUUAGGUGAUAGUGCGACUGAUAUUUUCUGGGGCGGAGAAAUUAUCAGUGUCCCGAACUCAAAGAGUUGUCCGAUGGGUAACGGCCAAACCAUGACGGGUCCAUAUCCGAAACUAUAUGCAUAUGCACGCGGUGUGUCGGUUCUUGAUGGAAAUAAAGGAACACUUGUGUCAAUAGAUCAUAGAAAC
Molecule: long non-coding RNA, 1415 nt
Organism: Arabidopsis lyrata subsp. lyrata
Lineage: Eukaryota; Viridiplantae; Streptophyta; Magnoliopsida; Brassicales; Brassicaceae
Exons: 3
Source: RefSeq, a predicted model, not a curated record